GACGAACGCUGGCGGCGUGCUUAAUACAUGCAAGUCGAACGAAAAGGCGCUGCGUUUGUUGGGUUGUCGUGUGGCGAACGGGUGAGUAUCACGUGAGUAACCUGCCCCUGACUGUGGGAGAACUUCAGGGAACUGGGGCUAUAAUCGGAUAGGAUCUCUUGCUGCAUGGGGUGGGUUGGAAAAUGUCGGCGUUGAUGGAUGGACUCGCGGCGUAUCCGCUUGCUUGGGGGGUUGUGGCUGCCCAAGGCUUUGACGGGUAGCCGGCCUGAGAGGGUGACCGGCCACCUUGGCACCGACGUAAGGCCCCAACUCCUACUGGAGGGAGCAGGGGGAAAUACUGCACAAUGGGCGGAAGCCUGAUGCAGCAACGCCGCGUGCGGGAUGACGGCCUUCGUGUUGUAAAACGCUUUUGCCUGUGACGAAGCGUGACUGACGGUAAUCGGUACAGAAGCCCCCGCUAAAUACGUG
This 468-nucleotide ribosomal RNA is filed under the name uncultured bacterium. Its description in RNAcentral is "partial 16S ribosomal RNA". It matches the Rfam family "Bacterial small subunit ribosomal RNA", at positions 28 to 507 of the family's 1533-position model. The record is from RNAcentral.